UAGUUAUUCUUUCACGCUUUUAUAAUAGACUAUGAAACCUCGUUGGUGUGGAAACAAACAAAAAAACCUGACACUGUUCCUUCCUUCCAAUGGGAUUCAACACCUUGCAUACAAGGAUAAACAGAUGGCAUCCUGAGAUCAUUAAUAACACGCUCAGAUCUGGUGAUGGUCCCUCAAAGAAUAAAACCCUGAAUAAGCCUGGACCCCCUUAAGAGAACUUUGCUAUGUUGACACUUGAAGCCCUGCUCGUGAAUAGCACAGGUGUAUGAAUGUGGUUUCCUCACCAUGAGUGGAUUCACGUAAAUUCAGAAAACGUGGUUCCACCCAGACAAAGCUGACCUGAGUUAAACACUUAAUGCCAGGAACAUGUGGUUCACGGCGCGCCUUAUGCCGACAGUGUAGAGACCAGAAAUAACGAAUUCCACCCUUUACUUUCAUCUCCUGGGAGAAUAUUAAAGGGUUUCCAGUUGGGAACCCAGAACAUGACCUGCAGCCUAGUGAAGGACGCCAACUUGGAAUGUGCAUUCUGCACAGGAAGGAGACUGAACUCUGAGAGGCAGAUGCCUUCCCCCCAAGCCCGUCAGCUUCUAGGUGCACAGAAUCAGGAUUUCAACUGAGAUCUCCCGACACCAAAUCCAGGGCUCUUUCCAUUCCAUUCUGGAGAGGGACUUGCGACAAUGAGCCCCUAAAUGCCAGAAGAAAGAAGAGCGUGAUGAAGAGGAAGUGAGAGUUAAGAACUGCAGUUACACACAGAAAAAAAGAAUGCACAUAAAAUAAAGCACACUUGCCCAUGAAAUGAUUUCAAGUAUGAAACUUCUUUGGAAGAUUGCAAAUCUUCCAUAAAUGUUAUUUCUAAACUGUGCCCAUUCCUGCAUGAAGGAAAGGAGGAAUACGACUUCUUUUUUUUUCCUUUCUGCUUCAUUUUGUGCCACAGAGGCCCCAGUUCUGAGUCCCACAACACAAAGCAGUAAAUAGGGCAGGGUUUAUCAUGGUCAAGGGCUGAGGUCUUGUAUCAAACUCUCUGGGUCUGAAAAUCCAGUCUGUCACUUUUCACUUGUGUGUUAAAUUACUAAGCCUAAGCCUCAGUUUCCCAUCUGUAAAGUGCAGAAAAUAUGGCUCAGUCGUUUAAGUGUCUGACUUCGACUUGAUCUCACGGUUUGUGAAUUG
This is a long non-coding RNA of Leopardus geoffroyi (Geoffroy's cat), 1167 nucleotides long. RefSeq lists it as uncharacterized. The transcript is spliced from 3 exons. The record is from RefSeq and is a predicted model, not a curated record. NCBI's taxonomy places the organism in Eukaryota, Metazoa, Chordata, Mammalia, Carnivora, Felidae.